Long non-coding RNA from Hyalella azteca, 1273 nucleotides. RefSeq lists it as uncharacterized. Lineage: Eukaryota; Metazoa; Arthropoda; Malacostraca; Amphipoda; Hyalellidae. The record is from RefSeq and is a predicted model, not a curated record. The transcript is spliced from 2 exons.
GUUAGCAUCUCGAUAUCGAGAUGGUUUUACACAUAUGGAUGAACAGGUUUGAGUUUCUUGUGUUACCGCGUCCUUUUCUCGUUUUUAGCUUGAAUUGUUUAAAUAACUUGAUGCAUUGUAUGCUUCCUGCUGUAUGGGGGUGGGUGGGUGACAUGCUGACUGCAGAAUGAGGUGUCAGACAACAUUGACUGUCGUGUGUGCAUGAGUGCUGUGUAAUGAGUGUAAUUGCUGUUAGUAAACAUCUAUCAAAACAGACCGCAGUCGUGGUACACUUAGUCCAAGUACCAUUACGACGACACAAAGAUCAACUAACAAUUGACUCUCAGUGUGGCUUAAAUCAACAGCAGCUAUGUAUAUGCCGUUAUUGCGAUACAACACAGUUCACAGCCAGUUCAAAUUACCAAUAAUUAAAGCCUGGCAUAUUUUCAGAUCGCAGGGAUCAAAAAUAUCUUCGAAAUAGAGUGGUUAUUACAGGAAUAUUGUAACCACGGACAGUCGAGAUUAUGUGAGCCAUUGCUAGUUAUUUUAACCUCUCUAUCGCAUUUUAAGCCUACUGUCUCAAUGUUCUCUGCACGCUGCAUGUUAGAAUAACCUCAAAAAGCUUCAUCUUUAUUUUCUGAACACGGUAAUUUGUAAAGAACUGCAUGAACUUUAUACCUGUAUAGAAUUAACAUUUAUUAAUAAAAGACCACUACUAACAUGCUGUGAAACGUUUGAAAUGUACUUUCGUUCCAUGUAUCCUGACUUCUUUUCUAUAUUGUCAGUAAUUUGACGAUGCAAAAAUAUAAAAUGUGAUUUUAUCUCUUGUAAAAUAAUAUACCUCUUUUUUGUAUUGCUAACUGUCUUCUCCUUCUGUUCCCAUUGCUCUAGUGACGACUGAAAGUAAAGAGACAGCACUGAAACAACAGUCUGAGAUGCUUCUGAACGACAUGAACCGGCUUCACUCAAAUUCGUAGUCAAAUGAGACGCGACUUCUGCUACAUCAAAUCUGCUAAACCAAUGGAACAGAAGUGUUUAAAACCAAUUAGAAAAAAAAAUAUCCGCCAAACCUGCACGGUCGUCGAGUUUAGACAUUUCAUUUAGAUCGUGAAACUCUCGGAAUGUAGAUUACCAAUUAAGUAAGCUCGCGUGAACCCUUGCCAUGACGUGUUAUUUCAUCUUAAGUUAUGGGGUUCAAUCGUGCUAUGUUGACCAUUGUUAUGGCGUCUUGAUUUUAUAUAGCUCGUGUUGAUAGAGAUAAUUUAUUGUUUUUGAUAGGUAAUGGUUUUCAGUA